Small nucleolar RNA from Jaculus jaculus (lesser Egyptian jerboa), 65 nucleotides. Lineage: Eukaryota; Metazoa; Chordata; Mammalia; Rodentia; Dipodidae. The record is from RefSeq and is a predicted model, not a curated record.
CUAUAAUGUUGUUGAUCAAAUGUUUGACUUGAAAAAAGCAUGUAGACAAAUACAAUACUGAAGAA